This 521-nucleotide ribosomal RNA is filed under the name uncultured bacterium. RNAcentral describes it as "bacterial SSU rRNA". It matches the Rfam family "Bacterial small subunit ribosomal RNA", at positions 8 to 518 of the family's 1533-position model. The record is from RNAcentral.
AGAGUUGAUCUGGCUCAGGAUGAACGCUAGCGACAGGCUUAACACAUGCAAGUCGAGGGGCAGCAUAAAAGUAGCAAUACUUUGGUGGCGACCGGCGCACGGGUGAGUAACGCGUAUGCAACCUACCUAUCAGAGGGGAAUAACCCGGCGAAAGUCGGACUAAUACCGCAUAAAACAGGGGCACCGCAUGGUGAUAUUUGUUAAAGAAAUUCGCUGAUAGAUGGGCAUGCGUUCCAUUAGGUAGUUGGUGAGGUAACGGCUCACCAAGCCGACGAUGGAUAGGGGAACUGAGAGGUUGGUCCCCCACACUGGUACUGAGACACGGACCAGACUCCUACGGGAGGCAGCAGUGAGGAAUAUUGGUCAAUGGGCGGGAGCCUGAACCAGCCAAGUCGCGUGGAAAAGGAAGAAGGAUCUAUGGUUACGUAAACUUCUUUUGCGAGGGGAAUAAAGUGCAGGACGUGUCCUGUUUUGUAUGUACCCUGAGAAUAAGGAUCGGCUAACUCCGUGCCAGCAGCCGC